Vicia faba (fava bean) is the source of this 222-nucleotide non-coding RNA. NCBI's taxonomy places the organism in Eukaryota, Viridiplantae, Streptophyta, Magnoliopsida, Fabales, Fabaceae. The record is from the annotation of a GenBank genome assembly.
AUGAGUGUUUUAUUUAUAGAAAACACACUUGCAUUAGGAGUCAUCCCAGAUGGCGCCUCCUCCCAAAAUUAUGAAGCAUGUGCCAUCUCACAUAGCAUAAAAGAAGUGUAUGUGUCAAAUGAGAUGGGGCUUGUGGCCAAAGUUCCAAAGCAUGCGUCAUUUGAGUUGGCGCCUCCAUAUAAAUCAAUUCUGAAAUAUGAUUAUUUGCAUAAUUUUCUCUGA